CGGGGUGAAGUCUUGGGGGAAGACGCCCGGCUGGGGGCCGGGAAGGUGCAGGUUCGACUCCUGCCACCCCGA
This 72-nucleotide transfer RNA is filed under the name Polyangiaceae bacterium LLY-WYZ-15_(1-7). Its description in RNAcentral is "tRNA-Pro". It matches the Rfam family "tRNA". Rfam says of the family: Transfer RNA (tRNA) molecules are approximately 80 nucleotides in length. Lineage: Bacteria; Pseudomonadati; Myxococcota; Polyangiales; Polyangiaceae. The record is from RNAcentral.